AGAGUUUGAUCCUGCUCAGAACGAACGCUGGCGGCGUGCUUAACACAUGCAAGUCGAACGAGAAAGGGUUCUUCGGAACCUGAGUAAAGUGGCGCACGGGUGAGUAACGCGUAGAUNAUCUUCCCCUUUGUCAGGGAUAACCGGCCGAAAGGCUGACUAAUACCUGAUAAGCUUAUUACCCGCCGGGGUAAUAAGGGAAGGUGGCCUCUAUUUAUAUGCUACCGCAGAGGGAUGAGUCUGCGUACCAUUAGCUUGUUGGUAGGGUAAUGGCCUACCAAGGCUGCGAUGGUUAGCUGGUCUGAGAGGAUGAUCAGCCACACUGGAACUGAGACACGGUCCAGACUCCUACGGGAGGCAGCAGUGGGGAAUAUUGCGCAAUGGGGGAAACCCUGACGCAGCAACGCCGCGUGAGUGAAGAAGG
RNAcentral lists this ribosomal RNA (421 nucleotides) under uncultured bacterium. RNAcentral describes it as "bacterial SSU rRNA". It matches the Rfam family "Bacterial small subunit ribosomal RNA", at positions 8 to 414 of the family's 1533-position model. The record is from RNAcentral.